GAUGAACGCUGGCGGCGUGCCUAAUACAUGCAAGUCGAGCGAACAGACGAGGAGCUUGCUCCUCUGACGUUAGCGGCGGACGGGUGAAUAACACGUGGAUAACCUACCUAUAAGACUGGGAUAACUUCGGGAAACCGGAGCUAAUACCGGAUAAUAUAUUGAACCGCAUGGUUCAAUAGUGAAAGACGGUUUUGCUGUCACUUAUAGAUGGAUCCGCGCCGCAUUAGCUAGUUGGUAAGGUAACGGCUUACCAAGGCAACGAUGCGUAGCCGACCUGAGAGUGUGAUCGGCCACACUGGAACUGAGACACGGUCCAGACUCCUACGGGAGGCAGCAGUAGGGAAUCUUCCGCAAUGGGCGAAAGCCUGACGGAGCAACGCCGCGUGAGUGAUGAAGGUCUUCGGAUCGUAAAACUCUGUUAUUAGGGAAGAACAAAUGUGUAAGUAACUAUGCACGUCUUGACGGUACCUAAUCAGAAAGCCACGGCUAACUACGUG
This 497-nucleotide ribosomal RNA is filed under the name uncultured bacterium. RNAcentral describes it as "partial 16S ribosomal RNA". It matches the Rfam family "Bacterial small subunit ribosomal RNA", at positions 28 to 507 of the family's 1533-position model. The record is from RNAcentral.